ACUUCACCGUUCGAUACUGGUUGCAGGUACUCUUCGGGUACUGCAUUAAAAGGGAAUCCGGUGUAAGUCCGGAACUAUCCCCGUAGCUGUAAGCUCCUUUCGUGUUGUUUCUGCUCCAUGCCACUGCCCUUAACGGGUGGGAAGGCCGGGAACAACGGAGUAAGUCAGAAGACCUGCCAGUCAUCAUUUUAGUAA
Molecule: non-coding RNA, 195 nt
Filed under: Cnuella takakiae
Lineage: Bacteria; Pseudomonadati; Bacteroidota; Chitinophagia; Chitinophagales; Chitinophagaceae
Source: RNAcentral